GAUAGCACUUUAUUUUCAUUAAGAGCUGUAUAUAAUCUCAGCCUAGGUUUAUUGUCUCCCAAUCCAACCAAAACUUUUUGUUUCUCAGUGAUUAUGUAUCUGAUAUCAUUAGCUUCCAGAUUCCAAAAUAUUAGGUAUGUUUAUGUAUUAAUGUGCAUGAAUAAAAAGAGAGGAGGCGCCAUUAUCUAAUAUUGCCUCAAGUGACAAAAUAUCUAGAUCCGGCGCUGACGGCAUUCGUAGUUAAGCAAAUAUCACUUUAUGGAGUAUAAUAAUGAAAUUAAAUAGAUUAUUCGUCCCAGAUUUUCUGGGACAGUCCCAAUUUUUGGUACAUUGCGCUGUAUCAAUAAACGUCCCGAAUUUUGAAAUCCAUUCCAUUUUUAAGACGAAAAUUUUUCAUUUCCGCACAAAAUCAAUUAUAUAUGAUAAAUGUUCGAAAUGGAGAUUUAAAACAUGUCAAGUCAAAUCAGAAAAGAGCUUCAGCAAGGCGUUGACACGAAAAUAAACGCAAAGAAGAACGAUGUCAUUGAGUUCAUAUUCCACGCGCGCGUUUGCGUUUGUAGAAGAAAUCUGCUUCAGCAAAUCAUUACUUCCCUUAACUCCCCAGAUAACGUCAUAUGUGCAUGAUGCAUGACAUCACAUUUGUUUAAUCGUUUGCACACAACAUGAACAUCCGGGUCCAGUAGCUGGUUGGUGUCUCUCUAUUUUAUCGAAACCACUUCGAUAGUUAUAUUUUUUGAUAUAUUUAAAAAGUUAUACCAUGAAGUAAGGGAAUUAAUAAUCCAAGAAACAAAUACGAAUUCUGGAAGGCUAGUGAUAUCCCAAUUUUGUUUAUUUUUAUUAGCAAAAGGCACAUUAUGUAUAUUAUCUUCCUCUCUCUCAGUCCAUCUGUGGAAAAGUUGAUCCACUAUGUGCUAAGCUAGAAAUGAGUAAUGGGCUGGACAGCCAUCCUAUUGCAACCAUAUAAGUUUUGUAUCCAGUAGGACAUUUUCCUAAAAUGUAUCCUCUAAAUGCUGAUGGAUGAUCACUUGCUCCAAAUUUUGUAAAAAUUAUAGAAAAAAAAAUUUUCAAGUAUGCUCUUGAUUCAGUCUUCUAGUUAAUAUAUAUAACAAACUGUAAGUUUCAUUAAGAUGAUUAUAUAAGCUGAUUAAUGAUGUGUC
This 1157-nucleotide long non-coding RNA is filed under the name Androctonus crassicauda. The record is from RNAcentral. Lineage: Eukaryota; Metazoa; Arthropoda; Arachnida; Scorpiones; Buthidae.